AGAAUGUGUGCCCAUGUAUGUGUGUGCUGGGGGUCGACAUGACCUUGGAAAUAACAGUGUUUGUAUUUCCUCUGCCAGGUGACAAGGAGCCCUGUGCACAUCCCAACUCUCGAUUUUGUGCCCCGGCUCGCCAGUGCCCCAUCAUGGACCCAGCCUGGGAGGCCCCAGAGGGUGUCCCCAUUGACGCCAUCAUCUUUGGUGGCCGCAGACCAAAAGGGGUACCCCUGGUAUACGAGGCCUUCAACUGGCGUCAUGGGGUGUUUGUGGGCAGCGCCAUGCGCUCUGAGUCCACUGCUGCAGCAGAACACAAAGGGAAGAUCAUCAUGCACGACCCAUUUGCCAUGCGGCCCUUUUUUGGCUACAACUUCGGGCACUACCUGGAACACUGGCUGAGCAUGGAAGGGCGCAAGGGGGCCCAGCUGCCCCGUAUCUUCCAUGUCAACUGGUUCCGGCGUGAUGAGGCAGGGCACUUCCUGUGGCCAGGCUUUGGGGAGAAUGCUCGGGUGCUAGACUGGAUCUGCCGGC
This 525-nucleotide small RNA is filed under the name Pongo abelii (Sumatran orangutan). RNAcentral's name for it is "retained intron". The record is from RNAcentral. Lineage: Eukaryota; Metazoa; Chordata; Mammalia; Primates; Hominidae.